RNAcentral lists this ribosomal RNA (253 nucleotides) under uncultured bacterium. Its description in RNAcentral is "partial 16S ribosomal RNA". It matches the Rfam family "Bacterial small subunit ribosomal RNA", at positions 524 to 776 of the family's 1533-position model. The record is from RNAcentral.
UACGAAGGGGGCUAGCGUUGCUCGGAAUUACUGGGCGUAAAGCGCCCGUAGGCGGCUUGUUAAGUCAGGGGUGAAAUCCUGGAGCUCAACUCCAGAACUGCCUUUGAUACUGGCGAGCUUGAGUUCGGGAGAGGUGAGUGGAACUGCGAGUGUAGAGGUGAAAUUCGUAGAUAUUCGCAAGAACACCAGUGGCGAAGGCGGCUCACUGGCCCGAUACUGACGCUGAGGUGCGAAAGCGUGGGGAGCAAACAGG